UACUAAUCUAAAUUUGAAAUUGAAAAUUUAAAUAAUGUAUUUGUAGCCAAGCAAUACCACUCGUCGCUCAAAAAAAAUAAAGCAACACCACUCACAAAGUCCAAAACCAAAUUAAAUCUGCACAGCAAUUGCUCAGACUCAAGUUUCCAAUUUCUGCUAGCUGUGCAAAUGCAUUUACGAUUUGAGGUAAACGCUCUUCCCUUUCCAUUUAAUUAUGCAAAAUUUUGGUGGGAACUGGUGAGUUGUAGUUAAGUUCGCGCGCGUGUGUGUGGACGACGGCACCAUCGGUGGGGUAGAGGUGGUGGCAGCGCCGUAGCGGCGGCCGACAUGGCUUUUCCGUUAUGUGCGUGCAUGUGUGUGUGUGUAUGAAUUUCUGUGUCAUGUGCUGCGGCCGACGAGGAUUCCCGCCAAUAUAGCUUUCCAACUUUAUCAUCAAUUUUGUGAGUAGAUGACGAAUUAAUUAAAGGAAGAAGGACGGCGGCAAUCGAUUGAAAGGAUUAAAUUUUCGUUGCGGUUCCGGAUCGGCGCUGAUCGCGGAAUUGACUGAGGGAUUGAAUCCACGGACAGUUUGUUCACCCGACGGCUGGCGGCGGAGGAAUCGGAAGUGGAAAGAUGGCGCGGCGGAUGGAGAGAUUAUCUCGAUAGAAGGGAGAGGAGUCCGGCGGUGGUCUCCGAUUCUGAAAUGAUGGUCGGAGUGGCAGAAAUUGACGCCAGCGACGGGGGUUUGGAGAUUGCUUUUUCUUCCAAUUUUGGGGAGGGGGUUUGGAGAUUGCUUUUUCUUCCAAUUUUGACUGCAAUUUUAUUAAGUAGAAUGUCCUUUUCGAUAAAAUGCCCUUCUUCUUCUGUAUUUUUUUUAAAAAAUAAAUAAUAAAAAAAUGGCCUUCUCCAUGCUAUGAGCCUAUGAUUAUAUUAUGAAGUCCUAUUAGUUCAACUCCAAAAAAAGUCAUGGUAUUUUAGAAAGGGUUAUUAGCAUCGAAAUACGACAAUUUUGGGUAAUUUGAUUUUGCACGUGAACUUGAAAGGUGUCAAAAAUACAAAAAUUUUAAUGUUGUAGUAAUUUUGUUAUAAAUUUAAUUUUUAUUCAAAUUAAAGUUGACGUGGGAAUUCGAAAUAUUGACGUGUACUCAUCGGACGUUUUAAAAAGUGAUAUGGUAUAGAACAUCUCUAAAAUAUAUUGUAGGAGUAUAAGACAUCUCUAAAUUUGAAAAUUGUAAGGUUUUUAUAGAGUUCGAAUAUCAAGAAAUUGAAUAUGUGGUCAAACUGUUACAACAUUAAAGGUAAUGUACUUUGUAUGUUGUAUGUAUCCUUAAGAAUAUAACACAAGCCUCUCAUGUGCAUUUAAAUUACAGUAGGAUUUGAAGUGUAAUAACCCUUAAGUUAAUGAUAAGUUAUUUUGUUGCCCUUAAUUUUUCUCAUUGUCUAAUUUUUGAUGGUAUACAGAAUGUGCCUGGUUAAUUCUGAGUUCGGCAGUAUUAUUGCUAGUUGUCGGCGUCUUCUUGCUGAUUUUGAUAACGUUAUUGUUCGGUAUGUGAGACGUGAGUCCAUCAUUGGAGCUCACCGUUUAGCUAGAAGUUCUUGUGAUUAUCCUAAUGCGUAUGUUUGGGAAGAACCCCCGUCUCUUGUGGAGGGUCUUCUUCAUAUUCCAUGCGUGUGUGCAUAAUAAAAUCUGAUCUUUUCCUUAAAAAAAAUGAAUUAUGCAGUUACAAAUUGUGGAGGGUCUUCUUCAUAUUCCAUGCAUCUGUGCGUUACAACUGGUUACGAUGUUCCCUUAUUGAAUUUUAUAUUGAUACAGUUAUAAAUUGAGGAGUAUGGUUGCAAAAAUUACAAAUGUUAAUUUUGCAAUAUUGCUAUCACAUUAUGAGUUCUAUUUUUAGCAAAAUAGGGUGUUCUACAUUUAUAUAUCCAAUUACAUUAUUUUCACUAUCAUGUAAUAUUUUCCAUGAAGAUUUUUUGAAAAGAAUUUAUGUAACAGUCUUAAGGUGGAGGCUUCACAUGCAUA
Molecule: long non-coding RNA, 1999 nt
Filed under: Salvia miltiorrhiza (redroot sage)
Lineage: Eukaryota; Viridiplantae; Streptophyta; Magnoliopsida; Lamiales; Lamiaceae
Description: long non-coding RNA (SMIL_LNC002045)
Source: RNAcentral